UCUCAACUUGGAUUCCGUGAGGAGGACCUUGGAAAGUUUUAACAUAAGCAUAAGGGAUUCGCAAAUCUUCCAGACGUAGAGCACGCGAGGCCUUGAACCCAAAUACAUUACCUACAAUGGAGGUAAACAUGUUAGUAACAGAACCUUCUUCAAAAAGGUCUAAGGGAUAAGCUACAUAAGCAAUAAAUUGAUUAUCUUCUCCAGGAACAGGCUCGAACUCGUAGCAGCGUCCUUUAUAACGAUCGAGGCUCGUAAGUCCAUCGGUCCACACAGUUGUCCAUGUACCAGUGGAAGAUUCUGCAGCUACCGCUGCACCUGCUUCUUCAGGCGGAACUCCAGGUUGAAACCUUGGAAAGUUUUAACAUAAGCAUAAGGGAUUCGCAAAUCUUCCAGACGUAGAGCACGCAAGGCCUUGAACCCAAAUACAUUACCUACAAUGGAGGUAAACAUGUUAGUAACAGAACCUUCUUCAGAAAGGUCUAAGGGAUAAGCUACAUAAGCAAUAAAUUGAUUAUCUUCUCCAGGAACAGGCUCGAUCUCGUAGCAGCGUCCUUUAUAACGAUCGAGGCUCGUAAGUCCAUCGGUCCACACAGUUGUCCAUGGACCAGUGGAAGAUUCUGCAGCUACCGCUGCACCUGCUUCUUCAGGCGGAACUCCAGGUUGAGGAGUUACUCGGAAUGCUGCCAAGAUAUCAGUAUCUUUGGUUUGAUAGUCAGGAGUAUAAUAAGUCAGUUUAUAAUCUUUAACACCAGCUUUGAACCCAACCUUUGCUUUCGUUUCUGUUUGUGGUGACAUAAAUCUCCCCCUACAACGCAUGAAUUAAGAAUUAUAGCAACAACAACAAGGUCUACUCGACAUAACUUGGAUUCCGUGAGGAGGACCUUGGAAAGUUUUAACAUAAGCAUAAGGGAUUCGCAAAUCUUCCAGACGUAGAGCACGCAAGGCCUUGAACCCAAAUACAUUACCUACAAUGGAGGUAAACAUGUUGGUAACAGAACCUUCUUCAAAAAGGUCUAAGGGAUAAGCUACAUAAGCAAUAAAUUGAUUAUCUUCUCCAGGAACAGGCUCGAUCUCGUAGCAGCGUCCUUUAUAACGAUCGAGGCUCGUAAGUCCAUCAGUCCACACAGUUGUCCAUGUACCAGUGGAAGAUUCUGCAGCUACCGCUGCACCUGCUUCUUCAGGCGGAACUCCAGGUUGAGGAGUUACUCGGAAUGCUGCCAAGAUAUCAGUAUCUUUGGUUUGAUAGGCAGGAGUAUAAUAAGUCAAUUUAUAAUCUUUAACACCAGCUUUGAA
RNAcentral lists this long non-coding RNA (1293 nucleotides) under Lathyrus oleraceus (garden pea). Its description in RNAcentral is "Pisum sativum (pea) long non-coding RNA (PSAT_LNC011335)". The record is from RNAcentral. Lineage: Eukaryota; Viridiplantae; Streptophyta; Magnoliopsida; Fabales; Fabaceae.